RNAcentral lists this transfer RNA (74 nucleotides) under Jenufa perforata. RNAcentral's name for it is "tRNA-Asp". It matches the Rfam family "tRNA". Rfam says of the family: Transfer RNA (tRNA) molecules are approximately 80 nucleotides in length. Their secondary structure includes four short double-helical elements and three loops (D, anti-codon, and T loops). Further hydrogen bonds mediate the characteristic L-shaped molecular structure. tRNAs have two regions of fundamental functional importance: the anti-codon, which is responsible for specific mRNA codon recognition, and the 3' end, to which the tRNAs corresponding amino acid is attached (by aminoacyl-tRNA synthetases). tRNAs cope with the degeneracy of the genetic code in two manners: having more than one tRNA (with a specific anti-codon) for a particular amino acid; and 'wobble' base-pairing, i.e. permitting non-standard base-pairing at the 3rd anti-codon position. The record is from RNAcentral. Lineage: Eukaryota; Viridiplantae; Chlorophyta; Chlorophyceae.
GAGGGUACAGCAUGAUUGGUUGGUGCAAUGGCUUGUCACGCCAAAGGUUGCGGGUUCGAUCCCCGUUACUCUCG